Molecule: transfer RNA, 73 nt
Filed under: Ursus americanus (American black bear)
Lineage: Eukaryota; Metazoa; Chordata; Mammalia; Carnivora; Ursidae
Also listed under: 2 other names
Rfam family: tRNA
About the family: Transfer RNA (tRNA) molecules are approximately 80 nucleotides in length. Their secondary structure includes four short double-helical elements and three loops (D, anti-codon, and T loops).
Source: Rfam by way of RNAcentral
ACCUGGCUGGCUCAGUUGGGAGAGCAUGUGACCUUUGAUCUCAGGGUCAUGAGUUCAAGCCCCACGUUGGGUG